ACGCGUAUCCAACCUUCCCAUAACUACGGGAUAACCCGUUGAAAGACGGCCUAAUACCGUAUGAUAUCGUUUGCUGACAUCAAAUAACGAUUAAAGGUUUAGCGGUUAUGGAUGGGGAUGCGUCUGAUUAGCUUGUUGGCGGGGUAACGGCCCACCAAGGCAACGAUCAGUACGGGUUCUGAGAGGAAGGUCCCCCACAUUGGAACUGAGACACGGUCCAAACUCCUACGGGAGGCAGCAGUGAGGAAUAUUGGUCAAUGGGCGAGAGCCUGAACCAGCCAAGUAGCGUGCAGGAUGACGGCCCUAUGGGUUGUAAACUGCUUUUAUGUGGGGAUAAAGUGCGUGACGUGUCAUGCAUUGCAGGUACCACAUGAAUAAGGACCGGCUAAUUCCGUGCCAGCAGCCGCGGUAAUACGGAAGGUCCGGGCGUUAUCCGGAUUUAUUGGGUUUAAAGGGAGCGUAGGCUGUUUAUUAAGCGUGUUGUGAAAUAUACCGGCUCAACCGGUGGCUUGCAGCGCGAACUGGUCGACUUGAGUAUGCAGGAAGUAGGCGGAAUUCAUGGUGUAGCGGUGAAAUGCUUAGAUAUCAUGACGAACUCCGAUUGCGCAGGCAGCUUACUGUAGCAUAACUGACGCUGAUGCUCGAAAGUGCGGGUAUCAAACAGGAUUAGAUACCCUGGUAGUCCGCACGGUAAACGAUGGAUGCUCGCUAUUCGUCCUUUUUUGGAUGAGU
RNAcentral lists this ribosomal RNA (732 nucleotides) under uncultured Prevotellaceae bacterium. RNAcentral's name for it is "SSU rRNA". It matches the Rfam family "Bacterial small subunit ribosomal RNA", at positions 113 to 844 of the family's 1533-position model. The record is from RNAcentral. Lineage: Bacteria; Pseudomonadati; Bacteroidota; Bacteroidia; Bacteroidales; Prevotellaceae.